CCAGACAGCCAGGAUGUUGGCUUAGAAGCAGCCAUCAUUUAAAGAAAGCGUAAUAGCUCACUGGUCGAGUCGGCCUGCGCGGAAGAUGUAACGGGGCUAAACCAUGCACCGAAGCUGCGGCAGCGACACUUAUGUGUUGUUGGGUAGGGGAGCGUUCUGUAAGCCUGUGAAGGUGUACUGUGAGGUAUGCUGGAGGUAUCAGAAGUGCGAAUGCUGACAUAAGUAACGAUAAAGCGGGUGAAAAGCCCGCUCGCCGGAAGACCAAGGGUUCCUGUCCAACGUUAAUCGGGGCAGGGUGAGUCGACCCCUAAGG
Molecule: ribosomal RNA, 313 nt
Filed under: Escherichia coli
Lineage: Bacteria; Pseudomonadati; Pseudomonadota; Gammaproteobacteria; Enterobacterales; Enterobacteriaceae
Description: bacterial LSU rRNA
Rfam family: Bacterial large subunit ribosomal RNA
Source: RNAcentral